AUUUGAAUAUGAUAACCGUAGACAGUAGGUGCCGAUGGCUUAAUUUCCUACCGAGGUGUUGUGAUAGAAUAUCUGUUGAUUGCAGUCGUUGCAAUUAAUGAUUCUUCAGGCCUUCGUGAUUCUGCGGAGGCUUUUUUCAU
RNAcentral lists this small RNA (140 nucleotides) under Paenibacillus antibioticophila. RNAcentral's name for it is "Ribosomal protein L10 leader". It matches the Rfam family "Ribosomal protein L10 leader". From Rfam's summary of the family: This family is a putative r-protein leader autoregulatory structure found in B. subtilis and other low-GC Gram-positive bacteria. It is located in the 5' untranslated regions of mRNAs encoding ribosomal proteins L10 and L12 (rplJ-rplL). Lineage: Bacteria; Bacillati; Bacillota; Bacilli; Caryophanales; Paenibacillaceae. The record is from RNAcentral.